Non-coding RNA from Pelobates cultripes (western spadefoot toad), 300 nucleotides. The record is from the annotation of a GenBank genome assembly. Lineage: Eukaryota; Metazoa; Chordata; Amphibia; Anura; Pelobatidae.
CGGAAGGUUUGUUGGGGGGACAAAGAGACAUGCAGUAGGGAAGGGGAACAAAGUGACACAAGAUUUGUGGGAGGCAACGCUGGGCUGAGGAAAAAGAGACAGAGAGUGACUGGGAGAAGAGAAAGAGGCACACGGAGUCUGGAGUUAGAAAGGGACACACAGAUGAGAUUUGGAAGGGGAGAAAGAGACAAAGUGGCUGGGGCUAAGAACAACACAAAAGGGGCUGGGGGAAAGAGAAAUACAGAGGCUGGAGAAGGGUAAAAAGAAACACACAGGGACUGGGAUGAAGUAAAAGAUGCA